RNAcentral lists this ribosomal RNA (301 nucleotides) under uncultured bacterium. RNAcentral describes it as "partial 16S ribosomal RNA". It matches the Rfam family "Bacterial small subunit ribosomal RNA", at positions 509 to 807 of the family's 1533-position model. The record is from RNAcentral.
CAGCAGCCGCGGGAAUACGGAGGAUCCAAGCGUUAUCCGGAAUCAUUGGGUUUAAAGGGUCCGUAGGCGGUCUUGUAAGUCAGUGGUGAAAGCCCAUCGCUCAACGGUGGAACGGCCAUUGAUACUGCAGGACUUGAAUUAUUGGGAAGUAACUAGAAUAUGUAGUGUAGCGGUGAAAUGCUUAGAGAUUACAUGGAAUACCAAUUGCGAAGGCAGGUUACUACCAAUUGAUUGACGCUGAUGGACUAAAGCGUGGGUAGCGAACAGGAUUAGAUACCCCCGUAGUCCCUGUCUCUUAUAC